GGCCUACCAUGGUGGUAACGGGUAACGGGGUGUUAGGGCACGACACCGGAGAGGGAGCCUGAGAAAUGGCUACCACAUCCAAGGAUGGCAGCAGGCGCGCAAAUUACCCAAUCCCGACACGGGGAGGUAGUGACAAUAAAUAACAAUACGGGGUUCUUUCGGAUCUCGUAAUUGGAAUGAGUACAAUUUAAAUCUCUUAACGAGGAACAAUUGGAGGGCAAGUCUGGUGCCAGCAGCCGCGGUAAUUCCAGCUCCAAUAGCGUAUAUUAAAGUUGUUGCAGUUAAAAAGCUCGUAGUUGAAUUUCGGGAUUAAUUUACUGGUCGUGCUUUUGUACGCACUGGUUUUAUUGAUUCCUACCUUCUGACGAACCAUGAUGUCAUUAAUUUGGUGUCUUGGGGAAUCAGGACUGUUACUUUGAAAAAAUUAGAGUGUUUAAAGCAGGCCAACGCUUGAAUACAUUAGCAUGGAAUAAUGAAAUAGGACAUCCGAUUCUAUUUUGUUGGUUUCUAGGAUCGAUGUAAUGAUUAAUAGGGAUAGUUGGGGGCAUUAGUAUUCAAUUGUCAGAGGUGAAAUUCUUGGAUUUAUUGAAGACUAACUACUGCGAAAGCAUUUGCCAAGGAUGUUUUCAUUAAUCAAGAACGAAAGUUAGGGGAUCGAAGACGAUCAGAUACCGUCGUAGUCUUAACCAUAAACUAUGCCGACUAGGGAUCGGAUGAUGCUUAUUUUUUAAUGACUCAUUCGGCACCUUACG
Molecule: ribosomal RNA, 752 nt
Filed under: uncultured Glomeromycotina
Lineage: Eukaryota; Fungi; Glomeromycota
Description: SSU rRNA
Rfam family: Eukaryotic small subunit ribosomal RNA
Source: RNAcentral